RNAcentral lists this long non-coding RNA (273 nucleotides) under Lathyrus oleraceus (garden pea). RNAcentral's name for it is "Pisum sativum (pea) long non-coding RNA (PSAT_LNC002920)". Lineage: Eukaryota; Viridiplantae; Streptophyta; Magnoliopsida; Fabales; Fabaceae. The record is from RNAcentral.
GAGGUAUUUUGAGUGAUGGCGAGAACUUGGAUGAGCGAGAUAUACAUCUCGAAUCCUAGCCUCAGGAGUGCAUGGUAUACACCAUGUUCCAUUUCCAUCUUUAUUGAAAAAGUAUUAAGGUAUGAAUUAGGUAUUUUGAAGUUUGAAAGACGAGUACUUGUGACCUACAAGCUCUUACAGCUUGGGUCUAAUACUCGGGACUACGUCUGGACAUUCCACCCAGGCAGUCUGUUUCUUUCCAAUAUUGCUAAGAAAAUGAUUCGAAUAUUUAUG